Long non-coding RNA from Saccostrea echinata, 1127 nucleotides. RefSeq lists it as uncharacterized. Lineage: Eukaryota; Metazoa; Mollusca; Bivalvia; Ostreida; Ostreidae. The record is from RefSeq and is a predicted model, not a curated record. The transcript has 4 exons.
UUAAAAACGUCAAAACCGUGAAAGUACUGUUUCGCAAGACAUCGCUUUAUUUACAUUUAAUGAAGCGAUUUAAGAGAGGAUAUGAGAAAAGGAGGAAUGUAAACACGUGGCAGAAAGGCAGAUUUGAUAGAAAGAAUGUGAAGGCGUCCAGCCUCUGCUGUCUGAACCUAAAAGUGGAAUGUAUGGUAUAACGUGUUAUGGCCUUCAAGAUGUGUUAACAACUUCAGUCAUAACAUUGAGAUCUGCCUUGUAUCUGUGUUCAACAAAUAGAUGUGUACUUUAUGCGCAGACUUGCAGGUCAACUAGAACUUCAAACUGUAGAUAAAUGGCACAGAAGAAGUUUUAAAUUCCCACUAUGAAUAACUGGGAGGCACAGGGUACCACGGGAUGUGUAAACAUUAAGCUUCAGUGUUCCUGAUGUUACACCAUUUUGCUGCAGGCAAUCUUGAAUAGACUGAUGAUCAGGAGAUCAAAUACAGAAAAUAUCCAAAAAUUUCAUAAUUUAGCCAAAAUAUUCAUUUUUCAGCCUCUCCGAUUGAAGCAGCAGAUCACUGAAGAAAGAAAUUUUAAUGACUUCUUUGAUAACUCCUGGCCAGAACCAUUAUAGAAAUAAUCAUGGAUUCCAUGAUAGGGACAGGAAUAUGGUCAUCAACUACUGUUUAAAUACUUCAAUUUCUUGACUGUGGAUCAUGAAUUCAAUGAAAUUGUAUUGAAAAUGAAUUCAAAGCGAGAUCAGUUGUACAUCUCUUAAUGAGAACUUCACUUCUCUGAUACAUCUCUUUUACAUUCUCAGAUUUGUUAAUUCAAAAAGAUUUUAAUCCUGUUUAUUUAAAAUUGGAUCUCCUCUAUUCAUUUUAAUACUACAGGAAAUAUCUUAGCAUCGUUUGUUAUAUGUAAAAGAUAAAUGUAUAACCAUCUACACAAUUACUACAGCUACUAAUCACCAGAUUUUUGCAUUCCCUCUGUAGAAAGACAUGUAUUAAGUAAAUGAAUUUAUCUACAAUUCUUGCAAUUAUAUUCCAACUUUUUUGUCCAGGUGAUCAAGCCUUGAAUAUAUUUAAGGAAGCUCCAAACACUAAUGAAAAAUGUUUUAAGAAAGUUGUAUCAAAUAAAGGUGUACAUAUUGA